GAUGAACGCUAGCGGCAGGCCUAACACAUGCAAGUCGAGGGGCAGCACAGGUAGCAAUACUGGGUGGCGACCGGCGGAUGGGUGCGUAACGCGUAUGCAACCUACCAUUGAUUGGGGCAUAGCCCGAAGAAAUUCGGAUUAAUACUCCAUAAUAUUCAUCAAAGGCAUCUUUUAUGAAUUAAAGCUUUUGCGAUCAAUGAUGGGCAUGCGUGACAUUAGUUAGUUGGUGAGGUAACGGCUCACCAAAACGAUGAUGUCUAGGGGUUCUGAGAGGAUUAUCCCCCACACUGGUACUGAGACACGGACCAGACUCCUACGGGAGGCAGCAGUGAGGAAUAUUGGUCAAUGGACGCAAGUCUGAACCAGCCAUGCCGCGUGCAGGAUGACGGCCCUAUGGGUUGUAACUAGCUUUUCCUACCGGGAAGAACCCUACCGACGUGUCGGAGACUGACGGUACCGUGGGAAUAAGCAUCGGCUAACUCCGUGCC
Molecule: ribosomal RNA, 488 nt
Filed under: uncultured bacterium
Lineage: Bacteria
Description: bacterial SSU rRNA
Rfam family: Bacterial small subunit ribosomal RNA
Source: RNAcentral